Molecule: ribosomal RNA, 382 nt
Filed under: uncultured alpha proteobacterium GT16-3b
Lineage: Bacteria; Pseudomonadati; Pseudomonadota; Alphaproteobacteria
Description: bacterial SSU rRNA
Rfam family: Bacterial small subunit ribosomal RNA
Source: RNAcentral
CUUCCUUGCCUGACUCUGUCGUGGCGGACACAGAGUACGAGCUUUCUUCACUGCGAGCCGGGACCCAGAGAUAGGUGCUGCAUGGCUUUCGUCAGCUCGUGUCGUGAGAUGUUGGGUUAAGUCCCGCAACGAGCGCAACCCCCUUCCUUGGUUGCUACCAUUCAGUUGAGCACUCUAAGGAGACUGCCGGUGAUAAGCCGCGAGGAAGGUGGGGAUGACGUCAAGUCCUCAUGGCCCUUACGGGCUGGGCUACACACGUGCUACAAUCGCGGUGACAUUUGGAAGCUCAGGGGCGACCCUUAGCAAAUCUCAUAAAGCCCUCUCAGUUAGGAUUGGGCUCUGCAACUCGAGCCCAUGAAGUAGGGAUUGAAUACAAUCGUGG